AAUAUUGCGCAAUGGAGGGAACUCUGACGCAGCGACGCCGCGUGAGCGAUGAAGGUCUUCGGAUCGUAAAGCUCUGUCCUUGGGGAAGAAGGUCUUCGGACUUGACGGUACCUAAGGAGGAAGCCCCGGCUAACUACGUGCCAGCAGCCGCGGUAAUACGUAGGUGGCAAGCGUUGUCCGGAAUUAUUGGGCGUAAAGCGCGCGCAGGCGGCCUUUUAAGUCUGAUGUGAAAGCCCCCGGCUUAACCGGGGAGGGUCAUUGGAAACUGGGAGGCUUGAGUGCUGAAGAGGAAAGUGGAAUUCCAAGUGUAGCGGUGAAAUGCGUAGAGAUUUGGAGGAACACCAGUGGCGAAGGCGACUUUCUGGUCUGUUACUGACGCUGAGGCGCGAAAGCGUGGGGAGCAAAC
RNAcentral lists this ribosomal RNA (406 nucleotides) under uncultured bacterium. RNAcentral's name for it is "partial 16S ribosomal RNA". It matches the Rfam family "Bacterial small subunit ribosomal RNA", at positions 360 to 773 of the family's 1533-position model. The record is from RNAcentral.